This 213-nucleotide unclassified non-coding RNA is filed under the name Melitaea cinxia (Glanville fritillary). Its description in RNAcentral is "misc RNA ENSMCXG00005012284.1". Lineage: Eukaryota; Metazoa; Arthropoda; Insecta; Lepidoptera; Nymphalidae. The record is from RNAcentral.
CGUCAUCUCCGCUCGUUCGUCUCACGAGAUAACCACAUAGCUGUGUACGUACAGCUAUUGCGCUAACCCCAGACCCAGGAUCGCAUCCUACGGUACAUUCGAGUAGGACGUUAAGUGUGAAGCGGUGAUCAUUACUUAGUACAAGUAUAACGUAAAGACCGAAACACAAACGAUAAUUAUAAUAAACUAGCUUUUAACCGCGGCUUCGCUCGC